GCCGGGCGUGGUGGCGCGCGCCUGUAGUCCCAGCUACUUGGGAGGCUGAGGCUGGAGGAUCACUUGAGCUCAGGAGUUCUGGGCUGCAGUGCGCUAUGCCGAUCGGGUGUCCGCACUAAGUUCGGCAUCAAUAUGGUGACCUCCCGGGAGCGGGGGACCACCAGGUUGCCUAAGGAGGGGUGAACCGGCCCAGGUUGGAAACGGAGCAGGUCAAAAAAUACACUGCAUUGUCUCGCAACCAUGUGUCUGUUCCUGAGUCAUCUCCCUCGCGUCUCUGAGUGAGUAGCAGCCCA
Molecule: signal recognition particle RNA, 293 nt
Filed under: Erinaceus europaeus (western European hedgehog)
Lineage: Eukaryota; Metazoa; Chordata; Mammalia; Eulipotyphla; Erinaceidae
Description: Metazoan signal recognition particle RNA
Rfam family: Metazoan signal recognition particle RNA
About the family: The signal recognition particle (SRP) is a universally conserved ribonucleoprotein.
Source: Rfam by way of RNAcentral